GACGAACGCUGGCGGCGUGCUUAACACAUGCCAGUCGAACGGAAAGGCCCUGCUUUUGUGGGGUGCUCGAGUGGCGAACGGGUGAGUAACACGUGAGUAACCUGCCCUUGACUUUGGGUUAACUUCAGGAAACUGGGGCUAAUACCGGAUAGGAGCUCCUGCUGCAUGGUGGGGGUUGGAAAGUUUCGGCGGUUGGGGAUGGACUCGCGGCUUAUCAGCUUGUUGGUGGGGUAGUGGCUUACCAAGGCUUUGACGGGUAGCCGGCCUGAGAGGGUGACCGGCCACAUUGGGACUGAGAUACGGCCCAGACUCCUACGGGAGGCAGCAGUGGGGAAUAUUGCACAAUGGGCGGAAGCCUGAUGCAGCAACGCCGCGUGCGGGAUGACGGCCUUCGGGUUGUAAACCGCUUUCGCCUGUGACGAAGCGUGAGUGACGGUAAUGGGUAAAGAAGCACCGGCUAACUACGUG
RNAcentral lists this ribosomal RNA (468 nucleotides) under uncultured bacterium. RNAcentral describes it as "partial 16S ribosomal RNA". It matches the Rfam family "Bacterial small subunit ribosomal RNA", at positions 28 to 507 of the family's 1533-position model. The record is from RNAcentral.